GAUGAACGCUGGCGGCGUGCCUAAUACAUGCAAGUCGAGCGAACAGAUGAGUAGCUUGCUCCUCUGACGUUAGCGGCGGAAGGGAGAGUAACACGUGGAUAACCUACCUAUAAGACUGGGAUAACUUCCGGAAACCGGAGCUAAUACCGGAUAAUAUAUUGAACCGCAUGGUUCAAUAGUGAAAGACGGUUUUGCUGUCACUUAUAGAUGUAUCCGCGCCGCAUUAGCUAGUUGGUAAGGUAACGGCUUACGAAGGCAACGAUGCGUAGCCGACCUGAGAGGGUGAUCGGCCACACUGGAACUGAGACACGGUCCAGACUCCUACGGGAGGCAGCGGUAGGGAAUCUUCCGCGAUGGGCGAAAGCCUGACGGAGCAGCGCAGCGUGAGUGAUGAAGGUCUUCGGAUCGUAAAACUCUGUUAUUAGUGAAGACCAAAUGUGUAAGUAACUAUGCACGUCUUGACGGUACCUAAUCAGAAAGCCACGGCUAACUACGUG
Molecule: ribosomal RNA, 497 nt
Filed under: uncultured bacterium
Lineage: Bacteria
Description: partial 16S ribosomal RNA
Rfam family: Bacterial small subunit ribosomal RNA
Source: RNAcentral